This 578-nucleotide ribosomal RNA is filed under the name Nostoc ellipsosporum AUS-JR/BS/MS/NT-049. Its description in RNAcentral is "bacterial SSU rRNA". It matches the Rfam family "Bacterial small subunit ribosomal RNA", at positions 169 to 799 of the family's 1533-position model. The record is from RNAcentral. Lineage: Bacteria; Bacillati; Cyanobacteriota; Cyanophyceae; Nostocales; Nostocaceae.
CCGGAUGUGCCGAGAGGUGAAAGAUUUAUUGCCUAGAGAUGAGCUCGCGUCUGAUUAGCUAGUAGGUGGGGUAAGAGCCUACCUAGGCGACGAUCAGUAGCUGGUCUGAGAGGAUGAUCAGCCACACUGGGACUGAGACACGGCCCAGACUCCUACGGGAGGCAGCAGUGGGGAAUUUUCCGCAAUGGGCGAAAGCCUGACGGAGCAAUACCGCGUGAGGGAGGAAGGCUCUUGGGUUGUAAACCUCUUUUCUCAAGGAAGAACAAAAUGACGGUACUUGAGGAAUCAGCAUCGGCUAACUCCGUGCCACCAGCCGCGGUAAUACGGAGGAUGCAAGCGUUAUCCGGAAUGAUUGGGCGUAAAGCGUCCGCAGGUGGCUAUGUAAGUCUGCUGUUAAGAGUGAGGCUCACCUCAUAAAGCAGUGGAAACUACAUAGCUAGAGUGCGUUCGGGGCAGAGGGAUUCCUGGUGUGCGGUGAAUGCGUAGAUUCAGGAAAACCCGGUGGCGAAGCGCUCUGCUGGCCGCACUGACCUGAGGACAAAGCUAGGGACCGAAGGGAUAGAUCCCCCUGUACAAAA